Molecule: long non-coding RNA, 3046 nt
Organism: Callithrix jacchus (white-tufted-ear marmoset)
Lineage: Eukaryota; Metazoa; Chordata; Mammalia; Primates; Cebidae
Source: Ensembl
CUCCAUGGCCUGUGUUCCAGGGGAUGGGUCAGGGCUUUGUAUUUCUUUACAGAUAAGGAGUGGAGUUCUAGGUUGGCCAAUCCUCGAUUCUUUAGCUAAGACUUUGAACCGAUAUUCUUCUUAGACCAAAGAGUCGUUCUCAGCGUGUGCUUCACUUACGGCUGUCAGAUGCGUCUUCCAUCCAGGAGGCCUCGUUCAGUAACUCGCUCAAGAUUAUGUAAUGAAUCUCUAUAAAAAGAAAAAGAAAAAUAAUUAUAAGGUAUUGGUUGCAGAGAAUAAGGAGAGAGAAAAGAUAACACAUUAAAAUUAUUUGGAAAACCUUAGGAAAAGAAUGGGGUGUCCAUUUUCAGGAGGUUCUCUAAAGUGCUGUCUGGUCCCAUGACCUCUGAAUUCCUUAGACCUCAUCUAUGCCAUGGAUGUGAGUGAGUCCUCCACCUAUGAAGUGGGAAGACCUCAUCAGCAGGAACAGUCAUGCUCACCUACACUGUGCCAUAGCUUUCUGCUGUCAACUGGCUCUGGGUCCCUCAAAUCUAGUAUUGCUUUCAGGGCUCCAAACCAAAGCUUGGAAAAACCAGUGGAGUAAUGAAGCUGUGAAACCAGAUCCUCCUGAAGCAAAGGAGAGAAGUUAUAUCCUACUGUUGCAGCCUGGAAGUGAGCUGACAGGAAACCAAGGACAGGAAAUGAAGCCAUCCAUGUGGGUCCUUCUGCUUCUUUGUCCUGCAGUCACUGGAAGGCACAAGGUGAACACUUCUUCUCUCGCUCCUCUGCUUAUGAGAACUCAGAGGACCCAUGAACCAGCUGGAGAGCAGGUGCUUUGGAGAGGCUUCGAGACAAGAGCACUGCUUUCUCCUUGUUUCUUUUCUGGCUGGGCUGCCCUCCUCUUACCAUGCACACUGAAUACUUCUCUUCUGGGGAAAGAGCUGUUUUUCUUAACCAUUCAAUAAUUGCUUUGCUUGUGUCAAAGGCUAUUUCAAACUAGGUAAUAUAGUUUUUCAUUUUCAACAAAUAACUUGUUCUCAUUUUUGUAGGAUUAUAGUUACUUUCCAUUUGGUUCUUGAUAGCUCAUAGUGAGCUGUGGUUUUAAAAUUUCGCAUGCAACAUUUCUGACGGAUGUGGUCGAUGCCCUGAGUUUGGGGAUUAUAAAAAAGCCUCAAUCACUUGGAUAAAUGAAUGCCACCUGCACAAUGGAACGAAGUGCAAGACUGCCUGUGAACCUAUAUUCGUGAUGACCUCUGGAAGGAGAGGAGACUUGAAUGCAUCUUCUCUCAUUCUGCCAUGAUACUGUCAUUUUCACAUACCACUGUGGAACUCAAGUAGAUGUCCCAAUAUGUGGAAUUGAUAAUUUUAACCUAGCCAGCUUUGUAUGAGAAAACUCCACCACCAGGGAAUUAGAUACUUGAAGUUACUGGUAUAAUAAUCUGUAUAAUUUUGUAAAAUAUAAUUUGUAAAAUGUAUUCUGCAAUAUUUUCCAAUCAAUGUUUUACAUGCAAUAAUUGUAAAUCUUCCCCAGAAAGUCUCAGAAUAUUGUUUGCAGAGUAUUGAGGCCAGGAUUACACAAAGGACCUAGCACUAUGGGCAUCGAUUUUAUUAGCUAGUACAGAUCUGUUAGAGGCGGGAGAGAUCCGAGCUACCUCGAGUUACCAGCAGCAAAUCUGUAUGCAUCUGCAGCAGCUUCAAUUCUUGCCUCCUCGGAAAAAAGAAUUUGACCGAGGGGCAUAAAGCAGAAACAGAGACCAAGGCCGAUUUCAGAGCAGGAGUGGCAGUUUAUUUAAAAGGCCUCAGAAUAGGAAAGAAAGGAAAGUUCACUAUGAAGAGAUGCCAGAGGGCACGUGAAGGCCAAAGAGAGAAGAUCAAGUGCCCUGUUUCACCAUGAUUGAGGACUUCUAUAGGCCCCCUCUUUCCCAUGAUCUUCCCUCAGGGUGGGCUGCCUGCACGCACACUGCCCUCUUUACCCCUGGGAGGUGAGAACGUGUCAUGUUUCAGGAAGUUGUACGCAUGCAUGCCCGAUGCUUUCUUCCCUUUUUCAGUGGAGCAGUACCCGGAAGAUCAAAUUUUUGUGUCUUAAAGUAGAAGCCCAGGAAGUUUAUUCUUCCUGGAGACAGCCUGUAAUGAACACUUCAACGGUAACAGGUGUAUACCGUCAGGAAAUGGCCCCUUCCUGGCCCCACUGCCAAUUUGUCACUUUUAGAGAGGCAAUCUGGUAAUCACCAAACCAUUACCGGAUUUUUCUAGUGAUUGGGGGAAGAGGCUUCUCCUGCCCUGCUCGUGCCUAAACACUUGGAACGAUCGACUUUCCCUCUUGAGAAUAGAAACAGACUUUCUCACUUGCUUAUAAGACAGAGCAGGAAAAAAAAUAAAUAAUUAGCAAGAACCAGGGGUAAAACAACCAAUCUACCAAAAUGAGGAUUAUUAGUGAGACCCAGAAGAAACAUCGGAAAAAACAAUACAUUCUUGUCAUCAUUUACACUUUCAAAUUCUCUUGAGGGGACAGCAUAAAUUCAUUCUACUAAAGCAUUCAGUCAAUAUGAUGUCAGUUGACAUUAAGUGUCAUUGUUUUUAGUGAAGAGCUAAGGUGUCCAAAUAAAGAGCUGAAAUGGUAGGGAUGUUUUUGUCUUCCAUGUUUUGAGAGAUGUGUAUUAUAAACACUUUUCUGUCUAGCUUUUCAUUUUUUUCCCUAAAGAUAAAUCUUCAUUGGAUUAUUUAAUUUCUCAUGUAAUUGAAAAAAGCAUAGGUUUUUUACACCAUGUAUUAGUUGGCAUUUUUCUUACAAAUUGCUCAACUUGGAUAAUAUUGUAUUAAUUAAAUUUAUCAUCACAAUAUAUUGGUAUCAUCGAAAAGGUUGAAAGAGCAUUUACGACUUCAUUUUUCAACUUAGCAAGUGCAGGGGGAAGAGAGGUUGAGUGUCACGAACCAAAGAGCACAUUGAUAAAGCCAAAACAAAUCUUAGGUCCCAGAGAUCCCAAUUUCUUGCCAAAAGAAGCCUUUACAUUUUGUUUCCAUCAGCAUCAUAUCCAAGUUUUAUUGAACUGUUAUAUUUCAUGUUCCC